This 252-nucleotide ribosomal RNA is filed under the name uncultured bacterium. Its description in RNAcentral is "partial 16S ribosomal RNA". It matches the Rfam family "Bacterial small subunit ribosomal RNA", at positions 524 to 776 of the family's 1533-position model. The record is from RNAcentral.
UACGUAGGUCCCGAGCGUUGUCCGGAUUUAUUGGGCGUAAAGCGAGCGCAGGUGGUUUAUUAAGUCUGGUGUAAAAGGCAGUGGCUCAACCAUUGUAUGCAUUGGAAAUUGGUAGACUUGAGUGCAGGAGAGGAGAGUGGAAUUCCAUGUGUAGCGGUGAAAUGUGUAGAUAUAUGGAGGAACACCGGUGGCGAAAGCGGCUCUCUGGCCUGUAACUGACACUGAGGCUCGAAAGCGUGGGGAGCAAACAGG